Molecule: small RNA, 67 nt
Filed under: Salipaludibacillus aurantiacus
Lineage: Bacteria; Bacillati; Bacillota; Bacilli; Caryophanales; Bacillaceae
Description: Bacillaceae-1 RNA
Rfam family: Bacillaceae-1 RNA
Source: RNAcentral
UCAUUAGGAGCUUCGGCUAACCCCUUCACGUCCUGUGAAAACGCCGAAGUCACCACAUCCGUGUGGA